RNAcentral lists this ribosomal RNA (281 nucleotides) under Citrobacter freundii. RNAcentral describes it as "partial 23S ribosomal RNA". It matches the Rfam family "Bacterial large subunit ribosomal RNA", at positions 1 to 282 of the family's 2925-position model. The record is from RNAcentral. Lineage: Bacteria; Pseudomonadati; Pseudomonadota; Gammaproteobacteria; Enterobacterales; Enterobacteriaceae.
GGUUAAGCGACUAAGCGUACACGGUGGAUGCCCUGGCAGUCAGAGGCGAUGAAGGACGUGCUAAUCUGCGAUAAGCGUCGGUAAGGUGAUAUGAACCGUUAUAACCGGCGAUUUCCGAAUGGGGAAACCCAGUGUGAUUCGUCACACUAUCGUUAACUGAAUACAUAGGUUAACGAAGCGAACCGGGGGAACUGAAACAUCUAAGUACCCCGAGGAAAAGAAAUCAACCGAGAUUCCCCCAGUAGCGGCGAGCGAACGGGGAGCAGCCCAGAGUCUGAAUC